Long non-coding RNA from Clupea harengus (Atlantic herring), 2018 nucleotides. The record is from Ensembl. NCBI's taxonomy places the organism in Eukaryota, Metazoa, Chordata, Actinopteri, Clupeiformes, Clupeidae.
AACCUCCUCAACCUAAGCUGGUUUGCAGUCGCCUUGGGCCAAGGUGUUUCCCUCAGAGGAGGUCAUUUUGAAGUGUAACAUUCAGCCGUCCUCGAAGGACUGGAGUUAUGACUGGUACAAAGAUGGACUAAAACAAACCCGUACAAUCAAGAAUCAAUUUAAAAUCAAAUCAGUGGAUCAGUCAAACAAUGGAAGUUACACUUGUAGAGGAAUUCACAAAAGACAAGUAAUAACUGCACACAGCAGUGGUAUUACAGUUUAUGUUUAUGAUGACAAAGCUGUGCCUACCUUAAGUCAGCACCCAAAUUACACCUCCGUCUAUGUGGAGGAGCAGGUGACCUUCAUGUGUGAAGUAGAGAUCGAUUCUACAGGCUGGGAGUAUCAGUGGUUCAAAAAGAAUCUUCAAGGGCCAAUCCCGAACACUGACCCAACAACAACGAAUUAUACAAUAAAGUCUGCUUCUGCAAAACAUGAAGACGAAUUUUGGUGUAGAGCUCAGAGAGGGGUAUAUCAGUCAGAACCCAGCGGGCCUAUACAAAUACAGGUUUUGUCUCGUCCUGAUACUGUGCUGACCCUGGAGACUGACUGGGCAGACAUUCUCACUGUGGAUAGUUUGACAUUACGGUGUGAUGUACAGGUCAAAGAUUUUGAAUGGAAUUACACUUGGUACAGAGACGGCAAUGAGAUGGCAGACAUCUCUGCAGAUGUUCAUGUGAAAUCCACCAAGGAAACGUAUCAGAGUGAAUACACGUGCCGAGGGGCCCGACUCCAGCGUCCGACAUAUUCAGCACUCAGUGAAGCUUUUAUAGCAAACAACAUUGUUCUGAAACGGAAAAUCCUUCUCUCCAUUUCGGGCUGUUUGGUUGUCGGCAUUGUCCUUAUUGUGCUGGGCUGUAUCAUUCUGAAGGUGACCCGGAAGCCAGGUGCGUAUAAUGGUUCGACUGCAGACUUAUGCGCAGCUGAAAGUGUUGAUAAACUUCAAACAACAGUUUACUAUUAUCCUUUAGACUGAGUCUGAAGAGCAUCCAUGUCUUGCUGAGGAGCUGCUGAAAGAAGCCAAAGAAAGCCAAAAUGAAAAGGAAACAGAUGGAUUCAUAUAAUUUAAAGCUUAGGCUUGUGACCAUAUCUGCCCUGUGAAUGUUCCAACCUCACAUCUCAUCCAAGAUGUCUAAUUCUCUAUGCCCGAAGGUAUAGCGUAUUAUAGCGUAUAAACAGCAGUAUUGCAGCUCUUGUGCAGAAACAAAUGCCAAUAGAACACACCUGAUUUGUUUCCACCAGUACACCAUCUCUCUUUUCAAGAUCUUGCAUUCAUGUAUUCAGAUCUUGCGAAAGGAUUUUUCAUACGUAAAUCAGAUUCUGUUUGAUGUUUGUAUGAAAGUCAGUGCCUUUGUGUUAUACUUUGUUUUAUACCAGUCAUUUUAGGGUAGAUUUGUCUUAUUAUAAGCUUCAUUUCAUUGUUCAAUACCUUACUUAACAUCUGUUUCUUUAUUUUAUAAUAUAUAUAGUUAUAUAUAUAUAUAUAUAACUUGUCAUCUUUGGGUUUUUUGGUGUGCGGAAUUGUUAGCUUCUUCCAACAGAGGCUCUACUCAAAGAUCAAGCCCUUUUAUAUAAUUUAACAAUUUUGAAAGUGGCUUGCCUCUUCACUGCCUAUUUUUAAAUCUUGUCUUAAAAUGUAUUUUUAUUCCUUGGCUUUUAACUCAGUAUGAGGGUAUGUAUGUUGUGUUUAAAUAUGUUGUGUUUUUUUAAUGUUGUUCUUAAAUAUGCUUUAGAAAUAAACCUGACCUUAUGAGUCAUUUUGCAAUAAUUACUUUGCGAGUGUUUUGUCUUUGUAGGUCUUAAUUGUAUUUCUUGUCAUACGGUAUAUUUAUGGUGGGUGUCAAAUAUGUGAUACAUCCUUUUGGUGGUAGCCUUUAAUAUUCAAUGUUCAUAUAAUGUCAACAUUGUUCACUGCACAAGUUCAACAUAGCAAUGUAUGUGGGCAUACAACUUGUAAAAAACGUCCUGCUACCUACCGGACA